UGUUGGGAUAGCAGCGAGCCACUGCCCCUUUACCGCAUUUAUUUUCUCUAUACCUUAGCAGGGUGCAACUAAUGGGUUGAGGUUAUGGAUUCAUUGUACACAUUUUAACAGAAUCAUUACAAUUUCGUCGCCCAGUCUAAUUUUGGGAAGCGUUAGAGAAGUGGCUGCAAAAUUGGUUAAAGUUCGCUUGAGAGCUCUAAUCAAUGCUUGACCCAACUCCUGUUUUCAUGUUUGCUGGUUUCAGAAGCCCCUGGGGCAAGAUUUCAGGUAGGACCUAUCAGUUGUUCACCGUCCUCCCCACCCCAGCACCCACUAUUUCAUGCUCUUCCCUGCCUUUUGGGUAGGAGAGGGCAGUCAUAGGGCAAAGUAGUCACAAGAAGAUACAAAAGGGCGGCUGCGGACGUAUAGAUGAGGAACUUUAAGACAAUUCCGUGGCGACGCCCAGGUGUUCUGCACAUGACGUCCUUAACUGCAUAAACACGUGCUAAUCACUUAGGCCGUGUUAGAAGCCUGCGCGAUCGCAGCCGCAGACCUCAUGGACCAGCGGCGCACGUCCCCCCAGCGGCAUGUUCGUUCUCUCUCUGCACUGGCCGCUUUGGAAGCAGCCUCUCCCCGCUUUGCUAGCAGGUUUCCAUGAUGAGACGCGGCGGCCUCCACUGACUGCGGCACCUGCCUGUCAUUCCAAGUGUUCAUCCUGACGGUUUUAGUAGCACUUUGGCUUCCGUCGCUAAGCAACGUGCGGGGCUCGUGCUAGACCACAGCUGUGUAAACGUCCGCCUCAUUCUAGCUCUGAAAACCGACUGUUCCCCGAAGGUGCCCCGGUGGUUGCUCCCUGCUUCCUCCUCUCGGAACCGCUCCCAGAAGGCAGGUUGGCGCUUCGGCCCUCAAUGGAUUAGGUGAUGUCCACUCACACUUGCCAUCUACUUCACUGAGUCCACUGCCGGAAAUGCUCAUCUCAUCUGGAAACACCCUCACGGACAGACCCAGAAACAGUAUUGAACGUGGGCACCCUCUGGCGCAGUCAAGUCUACAUAGAAAGUCAGCCGCUGAGGACUGAGCAGCGAGCAAAGCACAACAGAGACAAGCAGCCUUCUGGAAGCUUGCGUGGGACUGGGCUUCACACAGACGCCAAGUAAUGCAAACCAGAAGAACAACAGCCAAUUGUUCAAGGUCUAUCAGUGGAUGCAGAGACCCUUACCACAUCAGCAGUAGCUCAUUUUCCAGAAGCCUGUGGCAUGUGCUACCCACACCCGGCUCUACCAACAAAAACCUCAGAUACCACCUGAAUAACCCUUUUGGUAAGUCAUCUUACACAGUUCUAAGUAUUUCUGUCUCUUGUUGACUCUAAUCUCGCGUGUUCAGUAUAGACUCAUGUUUACCUUCUUCCUCAUUUACACAGAAGUCUAUGAAAGCUAGAAUAAUGAAUGCCUCGGUUUCUGUACAGCUUCCCGAAGUUCCCUGCAGAGCGGACAUUCAGUUCUUUACAGUUACUAACACAAUUUCCAUACCAGUUCAGCAGUCAGCACUAUUUACUAAAAGCUGGCACUGGCAGUAGCCUUUCAAUAAUCAGCUGCCAAUUAUCAGUAAACCAAAGUAAAAAAACACUGAUGCGAAUUAAUCCGUAUGUACAUAGCAAAACAUGAUGAAGUGAAAGUAAGGCCUACCUUUGAGGUCUACCUAGAGGACAAUCAAUGGUGUUCUCCAUCUUCCUCAGCAUCUAAACUAUUUCUUGGAGAUAGACCCUCAUUCUGUCGCCCAGGCUCCCGUGCAGUGGUGGGAUCUCAGCUCACUGCAACCCUCCCAAGUUCUCCUGCCUCAGCCUCCCGACUGGCUGGGAUUACAGAUGCCUGCCACCAUGCGUGGCUAAUUUUUUUGUUUUUCUGGUCUCAACUCCUGACCUUGGUGAUCCACUCACCUUGGCCUCCCAAAGUGCUGGGAUUACAGGUGUGAGCUACCAAGCCCUGCCUACACUGUGCUUUAUAAUGCCCCAUCUGCACGCAAGUAUUUCCACAAAUAAGAUUCUAAGCCUUUUUAUACCCUAAGAAUCUUUUUACACAUGAAACGUUCUAUCCCAGUGGCACAAAACUGGAAUCACAUCUAAAAUAUCUUUUUUACAUUACUGAUUUUAACCCACUCCUUUGUACUUACACAUUUUUCCAUUUCUAAACCAUCCUUAAAGAAAAUCAUAUAUGGGGUCACACCAUCCUCACGGUAGUCCAAUAGAGCAACCAUGCCAUCUGGAUUCAUGUUUUCACCAAUAAAGAACUUGGGAAGCAAACAAAACACCUAGAAUUAGACCAUUACAUAGAAAUACAUGCCAUUCAAAACUAACUACAAUACAAAAUCAGGAGAAUUCCAGUACCCAAAAGCUCUGAUUCCCACUUACCAUAAUCAUUUGUUCACUCAAUCAGGCACCUUACUAGUGACCUUUUAAGUAAGAGUACAGAGCAAUACAGCAACACUAGGCUUUACGGAAACCUUUACUUUCUCAGACCCUGAAGUGCGCUGAUACAGUCAAGCACAAUUGCAACACAAGGCUGACAGUGACAGAACGUAUCAUACAGUUUGGAAGUAUCUUAUGGCCAGGGAUACAUGAAGUUGGAUAAACGAAAGCCACGGACAUUUUCCAGUAGAACAAGUUCAGAUACAUCAGGAGGACCAGUAGCAAUAAGACACAUUAGAACUGUAAACAGAAAGCUGAACACAGGAGGUUAAGCAAUUUUCAAGAAGAAAAACUGAAGAAAUGUCAUCUGGCAAAGAAGUUUUCCAUCGGAACGCAGAAUUUGAAAACACUUAAGAGCUGAGAAAGCUACUUUCUACACCUGGAAUACUAGUAUAGAAUUGAAGAUUAAUGAACUUAAUUUUUGCUCUUGCAGUGAAAAUUGUACAAUCCUUUGAUCCAAACACUUAAGGCAUUUACCUGGUAGUUUUUGAAAUUAGCAAGGAUGUGCUUGAUUUGUUCGGCAGCCCCCGUCAUAAAAGGUUUUACUCUUUCUGGUCUCUGUUCUUCAAGUUUGCCUUUGAUUCUAAAACGACAUUUCAUUAACUGGUUAAACUAUUGAAUUUUCAAUUAAAUCAAUUUUUAAAGUAAAAAAAAAAUACCCAAGCUUAAAAAAAAUAAAAACAUUGAAAAAGGCAACCAGCUGUUAAGAAAUUACUAAUUCAGCUGGGCGCGGUGGCUCAAGCCUGUAAUCCCAGCACCUGUUCCCAUAAGUCAUCUUUCCAGAAUGUUCACAUUUCUGACAUUUCUUCUUGUUUAUUUUCAAAGUACUAUUCUAACUCUAAACGGAGCCAGACUGCAGGCUUCAGUAUGCUCACAGAGAAAAGCAACCACUCUUGUCAGUGAACUCAUUAAUAAAAGAGGCAAGUAUAUUCCCUGCUCAAAAGAACCUCAAAAGUUACCACAUCUUUAAAUCCCUUAAGAUUCUAGACAUCAGCUAGGUGCUGCCUUACGAUUUCAUGUAAUCUUUGAUGUACUUCUUGUAGGCUUCUUUUGUGAAACUUGUUUCCUGCAGGUGAUGGUUCAUGACAAUAUCGACACCAGUGACUACUGUGCUUUCGGUACCUUCGCCCUCGGGGCCUUCGGCGGAGGCAUUUCCACCGAUGAGCGAGUCAUCAAUGUUACCUUCUGUCCUACUGACCAUCUGCAUUAACAAAAAGCAGUACAGUUGCAAAAGAAAACAAACGCAUCUUCAAAGCACCUUCCACGCCAAUAGUCAGACACAUUCUUGGUUUUUGAUGAAAAUCAAAAAAGCAGCAUUUCGGGAAUCAAGUUGUGACCUGUGGAUUUCCCGAAACGACCUAACUUGAAAGAGUUGUCCGUUGUUGGCCAGAACAAAAUGGGAUCAUUAAAAAGUUGUUUCCAGCUGCUGGCAUCAGGGACCUCGGGUUGGUAAGUAGGGGCGGGGUAAACACCAAAGGGACUGGGCUCCUAAACCGGAGACAGCGUGUCCCGGACAACCCCGGGAGGAGGAUGGGCGCCGAGGCGGCGGGCCUAUUUCCAGGCUCAGCUCCGCCUCCAGUUUUCUAGAAAAACCCGAGCCCGGAAAGAGCGUCUCCUCCGCCAGGAGGCGGCGGGGAGGAUUGCACAACCUCAGGCGGGGGAGCGGCGGAAACCCGAGCCUGCCCGGGCGGCCCGCCCCGACCUCCCCCACGCGCAGGCCCGACCGACUCACCUUCCCCUCCACCUCCAGGCACAGCCCGUCCGCGAUCUCCCGGAUCUUGUAGAUGUCAGAGAACAUCUCAUCGUCUGCCGAAUACACAGAGCCGCCCGUCACCGCAGGCCCCGAGCCGGCGCCGCCAUUUCCCGCAUUUCCCGCGCCGGCGGCCGCACGCGGCGUCCGUCCCUCGCGAGGGCUCCAGAGCCGAGCGCGAGCCCCGGUACCGAUCCCUGCGCACUCGGUUAAGGUCGCAGGCAUCCCCUGGGCCCGGACGGCUGCGCUUUCCCCACCCCCCACCCGCACCCCAGGACCCCGUGUGCGGCAGUAAGGGUAGUGCAGUGAGGACUCACGGCUGAUGAGAUCCCGGUAGAUAAUCAUGAUGGCGGCUGACGGGAGAGGACGGCGGCGCUAGCUUAGCAGGAGCCCGACGCUCGGAACGAGCGCUGUGCAGCCGAAGCGGCGCGAGGGGGGAGGGGGGAACGGGCGGAAAAGGCCGACUCAGCCGCUCCCCAACCUCAUAUAGAGGGCACGUCUCUUACGUCAUCGUUCGCUGCGCCUCCGGAAGCGACGCAGCGGUGACGUGGCACGCAGAGCCGCGCGGGGGCGGGGCCACAGCGGAAGCGAGUCGGGGAAGCGAGCAUCCGGGGACUUGAGGUGGAGGCACCAGACUGUUCCACUGGGCACGCGAGGUGCUGGUGGGUGGGGGGGGGAAUGGGGGCGGGGAGGUGCGCGCGCAGCCGGGGAGGAGGAAGUGAAAUGAAAACGGCAGAAUUUAUCUGAAGAUCCACAAUCUAGAGAUGGAAUCACUGCUCUUUUGACAGGUGCCAGCUCAGUGGCAUCACUGCCAAGUCCAGAUUGCCCGACACACAGUACCAUUGACUGAAAAAUAAAGAUGGAUGAACAGUAGCUAGUGGCCAGAGACGCUGUUUGUUGAAGUGUGGUUUGUCCGCCAGUGAUCUCAGCACCACCACGGAGCUUGUUAGAAAUGCGGCAUCCCAGCCCCAUCGCAGCCCUCCUGAGUCAGACGCUGCUGCCUCACCAGGCCCCCAGCGGAGUCACAUGUUCAUGCAAGUUUCAGGAGCCCAAUUCUACAAUGAAAUAUGCUUUUAUGGCCGGGCGCGGUGACUCACAUCUGUAAUCCCAGCACUUUGAGAAGCUGAGGUGAGCGGAUCACCUGAUAUUGGGAGUUCAAGAUCAGCCUGACCAAUAUGGAGAAACCUCAUCUCUACUAAAAAUAAAAAAAAAUUAGCUGGACAUAGUAUCGCAUGCCUGUAAUCCCAGCUACUCGGGAAGCUGAGGCAGGAGAAUUGCUUGAACCUGGGAGGUGGAGGUUGCAGUGAGCUGAGGUUGUGCCACUGCAUUCCAGCCUGGGCAACAAGAGCAAAACUCCAUCUCAAAAAUAAAUAAAAUAAAAUACAAUUUUAUAAUUAGGAAAAGGAUAGUUUCUUUGAAAUAGUAGGACUUCCCCAAUGAGUCAGCUACCUGUAUUUCUGGUUUGUUGGGCUGGACGCCAGAGACCAUUCUGCAUAGAAUUGUACCUCCUUGACCUGGGCGUUAGGGUGAGGAUUCCUCUUCCCUUCUCCCCACCUUAGAGACAAAAUCCUCUUAAACAUACCCGGCAGCAGGCCGGGCGCGGCAGCUCACCCUUGUAAUCCCAGCACUUUGGGAGGCUGAGGCAGGUAGCUCACUGGAGGUCAGGAGUUCGACAGCAACCUGGCCAACAUGGUGAAACCCCAUCUUUACUAAAAAUACAAAAGUUAGCUGUGGGUAGGAGCGUGUGCCUGUAAUUCCAGCUAUUCGGGAGGCUUAGGCAGGAGAAUUGCUUGAACCCAGGAGGCAGAGGUUGUUGAGCCGAGAUCGUGUCACUACACUCCAGCCUGAGCUAAAGAGUGAGAAUCUGUCUCAGAAAACAGCCUGAGCAACAAGAGCAAAACUCCACCUAAAAAACAAACAAGUAAAAAAACCAAAAAGUUAACCUAGCAUGGUGGCAGGUGCCUGUAAUUCCAGCUACUCAGGAGGCUGAGGGAGAGAAUUGCUUGAACCUGGAUGGCAGAGGUUGCAAUGAGCCUAGAUCGCGCCACUGCACGCCAGCCUGGGUGACAGAGUAAGACGCUGUCUCAAAAAAAAAAAAAAAAAAUGUAGCCAGGUGUGCUGGCUCAUACCUGUAGUGACAGCUACCUGAGAGUCUGAUGUGAAAGGAUCACCUGAGCCGGGAGGUCGAGACCGCAUGAGCCUGCAGUGAUCCGUGAUGACUCAACAGGGUGAGUGAGCUCGUGUGCAGAUGCCCAGAAGCCUUUGAGAGAGGGAGGCCACUCAGGAGGGGUGGGGGGAGCUCAGGCAUUGUAGUCAUAUUCUUAUUCUCAUUUCCUGCUGUGGUUUUUUUAAAUCUCUCUCUGCCGUUUCCCUUGAUUUCGCCCAUCUCUUCUCUUUCUACCGUAUUGUCUACCCCCCCCCCCCCGCCAAAGCAUUGUGAUUUCAGCAAUCAUUUAUCUCUAUAAUCCCAUGAUAAUAAAAUGUCCUCAUUAAUUAAUAUGCUGAUUUAAACUUUUUUCUCUCACAUCUCUUUUGAGUGCUUGAAAAUUGCUGCCAGAUAUGUUGUUUGUUUGUUUAUUUUUAUUUAUUUAUUUUGAGGUGCAGUCUUGCUCUGUCGCCCAGGCUGGAGUGCUGUGGCACAAUCUUGGCUCACUGCAACCUCCACCUCCUGGGUUCAAGCAAUUCUCCUGCCUCAGCCUCCCGAGUAGCUGGGACUACAGGUGCCUGUCACCAUGCGUGGCUGAUUUUUGUAUUUUUAGUAGAAACGGGGUUUCACCAUGCUGGCCAGGCUGAUCUUGAACUCCUAACCUCACGAUCCACCUGCCUCAGUCUCCCAAAGUGCUUACAGGUGUGAGCCACCACGCCCAGGCACCUGCCACCUGCCACCCGCCACCUGCUAGUGUAGAGAAAUGAGUAGACUUAGACAAGCACAUGGGCUUCCUCUAUAGCAGCCUAGACGUUGACACUGAGACUCCACGAGUCUGGGCCACUUCCUCCCUCAAGUGUGAAAGGAAAAUAAAUCAUGGGACCCCAAAAUCACUAAGCCAAGGGAGAAGGCAAGCUGAGAACUUUCAGGCAAACCUGCCUCCCAUUUUAUCUCCUAAAUAAGAUAGCUACAAAGAACUUUAAAAAGCAGCCAGGCACGGUGGCUCAUGCCUGUAAUCUCAGCACUUUGGGAGGCUGAAGCGGGUGGAUCACCUGAAGUUGGGAGUUCGAGACCAGCCUGACCAACAUGGAGAAACUCCGUCUCUAUUAAAAAUACAAAAUUAGCUGGGCGUGGUGGCACAUGCAUGUAAUCCCAGCUACUGGGAGGCUGAGGCAGGAGAAUUGCUUGAACCCAGGCGGUGGAGGUUGUGGUGAGCCAAGAUCGCGCCACUGCACUCCAGCCUGGCAACAAGACUGAAGCUCUGUCUCAAAAAAAGAAAAAAAAAAGCCACUUAACUUUCUCAUAAUUUGCCCACAAGGAAAUUCCUAAUUCUACAAGGGAGGGCUAAUCAGAGGCUUGAAAGAAUGCAAUUGUUAGAUCUUAUCCACCUGUGAGCUGGAAGGUCGCGUUGUCUCACCUUUCUGGACUGAACCAGUGUUCAUCGUACACAUACUGAUUGAUGCCUUGUGUCUCCCUAAAAUGUAUAAAACCAACUGUGCCCUCACCACUUAGUGCACAGGUCGUCAGAACUUCCUGAGGCUGUGUCACCGGCACACGUCCUCAACCCUGGCAAAACCAACUUUCUAAAUUGGUUGAGACCUGUCUCAGAUACUUUGGGUUCACAUAAGGAAACAGGAAGCAGGAAUCUGGUGUCUCUCUCUUUAAGCACAGUUUAAGUUUUACUGAGUGUAAGAACUCAGUAAGCACAGUUCUAGGCUGCGUUUGUCCUGUGAAUCCUUCCCUUCUGGGUCCCCGCAGGUACUGCCACUCUCUCCUCUCUCUCCUGCCUUCUCUUCCUUUAUUUUUCCUUUUUUUUUUUUUUUGAGACACAGUCCCACUCUGUCACCCAGGCUGGAGUGCAGUGGCACAAUCUUGGCUCACUUCAACCUUCACCUCCUGGCUUGAAGCAAUUCUUCUGCCUCAGCCUGCUGAGUAACUGGGACUACAGGCACAUGCCACCAUGCCUGGCUAAUUUUUGUAUUUUUAGUAGAGAUGGGGUUUCACCAUAUUGGCCAGGCUGGUCUUGAACUCCUGACCUCGUGAUCCACCUGCCUUGGCCUUGGCCUCCCAAAGUGCUGAGAUUACAGGCGUGAGCUACCGCGCCUGGCUCCUACCUUUCCUUUCUAGAUCCACCCUCCCAGUCUUGGCGUUCCUUAGGGUUUGGUUCUUGGGACUCUUCUCUGUUUAUGUGUUCUCCCUAGAUAGUAUCAUCUAUAAGUGACUUAAAUAGCACUCAUAAUGCUAAAAAAAAAUACAUUUCCAUUUCUAGCCUAGUUGUCUCUGAAUUUCAGAAUAAGGUAAAUGAAGAAUUCACCUUUUUACACCUUAAGUUUGAAAUGCCGGUGAUUUAUUGUUGGAAAUAGAUGCCUGGUGCCGCAAAGAAAAAUUAGUACUAAGACUUUAAAGGAUCUUUCAGCAACGCAACUUUUACUUCCUGGACUGCAGGAAGGGUACCCUCGCCAGCCAUCGUGCCACAAGAGAACAAUGAACAAAAGAAAACACACAAACGUAUCCCUUACACAUUUGGGGUCAUCCUUACUGCUGUGUCUGAUCUCCAUUGGCUGGAGCCAGACCUCACAAUCUAAGCUAAAACCCAACUGGCUAACAGCUUAAAACUUUUCUAAACAGGUAAAAGCAGUGGAGAGCUGGGGCAUGCCUGUGAGCACGUCCAGCACAGAUAUCCUGGUGAAAGUAAAGGAACACAGAAUGUACCACGUGCCUGUAGGCACGGCGUGUCUAACAGCGACAUAGGAUAGGGCUUCACAAAGAUAACAAGAAAGGAAACUUUAAGAAGGAACUUUUCUACUCCCCACAUUUAUCCAGCAGCCCUCCUGGUUUUUCACUUGGCUGUAUCAGCAUCUCAUUUAACUCAAUGUUCUACUCACUCUCCUCAACUUGCUCCCUGCUCCAUCUCAGCCAGUGGUGCCACCAGAACCCAGUUUCCUGAGCUAAGUGCCUUCCUUGACACCUUCCUCUCCCACACUGCCUCACCUGACCUGUUACCAGUCCUGUCACGUAUGGUUUUUUUUUUUUUUUUUGAGACAGAGUCUUGCUCUGUUGCCCAGCCUGGAGUGCAGUGGUGCAAUCUCGGCUCACCACAACCUCUGCCUCUCGGGUUCAAGCGAUUCUCCUGCCUCAGCCUCCCAAGUAGUUGGGAUUACAGGUGUGCACCACCAUGCUAGCUAAUUUUUGUAUUUUCAGUAGAGACGGGGUUUCACCAUAUUGGCCAGGCUGGUCUCAAACUCCUGACCUUGUGAUCCGCCCGCCUCAGCUUCCCAAGAUGCUGGGAUUACAGGCCUCAGCCACUGCCCGGCCUUGUGACCUACUAUCUACCAGAACUUCUGGCAAAUACUCACUGUGUCUCAAUUGUCUCAUCUAUAAAAUUCAAUGAAUGACACUAUUACCUACUUCUCAGACCAGAUGGGAGAAUGCCUGUGAAGCAGGUGGGUGGUGCCUGUCACACCCAGGUGUUUAUUGCCCACCCCUGCCUCCUCAACCCCGCCACAGUUCACACCCGCCACUCCUGAGCUCCACACACCGCCUUCCUCCCAGGCCCUCACGAAGGCCUGGGAGGAACUCAUGAAGCCACUCAUGAAGAACUCAUGAAGCCACCCGGAAUCCCUCUGCUUUGCCUGGCUCAUUCCAUCUCAAUUUCAGAUCUUUGCUUCAGGUCAGCUCCAAGGAGGCCAUCCUUGCCCAUCUUCCUAAAAUAGAGCUCUCAAAACCUAGCUCUUUUCCUUCACGGCGCUGGCCUCCAAUUGUAAGUAGGUAUUUAUCUGUUUAUACGUGUCUCUAUCGCUAUAAACUUCGGAAGGGGAGAAUUUCUUGUUUUGGUUCACUGACAAAAAAAAAGAAUGCUCGGUAUUUACUAAGCAUUCAAUAAAUAGUUGUUGAGGGAGAAAAGAAUGAGUGAAUGAAUAGGUGAAGUGUGGGAAGCUCCUGAGGAAGCAGCUCUCUACCUAGCGGCCAAAGCCACUGAGUAAACAGCGUGCGUACCCAUCUGUUUUGCCCUCUGUGUGUUUUGCUAGUAUGCAGUGUUCUAACUAGAAGUAAAUUCUUGUUCGCUCAUUAACAUAAUUUAUUUUUUGGAGUCAGUCUGACUGUUACCUAGGCUGGAGUGCCGGGGCGCAAUCUUGGCUCAUUGCAGCCUCUGCCUCCCAGGUUCAAGCAAUUCUCCUGCCUCAGCCUCUGGAAUAGCUGGGAUUACAGGCACCUGCCACCAUGUCCGGCUAACUUUUUGUAUUUUUAGUAGAGACAGAGUUGCAUCCUGUUGCCCAAGCUGGCUGGUCUUGAACUUCUGACCUCAAGUGAUCCACCCACCUCGGCCUCCUAAAGUGCUGGGAUUACAGGUGUGCCUGUGCCCGGCCUUUUAUGAUUAAUUAAUUAAUUAAUUUUUUAAAGAUGGGGUUUCCCCAUGAUGGCCAGGCUGGUCUUGAACUGCUGACCUUAGGUGAUCCACCCACCUUGGCCUCCCAAAGUGCUAGGAUUACAGGCUUGAGCCACCACGCGCGGCCUAUUAUUAUUUAUUUUUUAAGGUGUGUGCUUUUAUUCAGCUGGUCUCAAGUCGGUGUACUGGUAAGCCCUGGCUGCUUCCACGCACUCCCAGGGAGACCAAAAGCCUUCAUACAUCUCAAGUUUGGGGGGAAAAAAGGGAGGGGGGCACGAAGGCUGAUCAUUCAAAA
Molecule: non-coding RNA, 11021 nt
Organism: Callithrix jacchus (white-tufted-ear marmoset)
Lineage: Eukaryota; Metazoa; Chordata; Mammalia; Primates; Cebidae
Source: RefSeq, a predicted model, not a curated record